GUAAUACAUCGGAACGUGCCCAGUCGUGGGGGAUAACGUAGCGAAAGCUACGCUAAUACCGCAUACGAUCUGUGGAUGAAAGCGGGGGACCUUCGGGCCUCGCGCGAUUGGAGCGGCCGAUGGCAGAUUAGGUAAUUGGUGGGGUAAAGGCCUACCAAGCCGACGAUCUGUAGCUGGUCUGAGAGGAUGAUCAGCCACACUGGGACUGAGACACGGCCCAGACUCCUACGGGAGGCAGCAGUGGGGAAUUUUGGACAAUGGGCGCAAGCCUGAUCCAGCCAUUCCGCGUGCAGGA
This 295-nucleotide ribosomal RNA is filed under the name uncultured Pseudomonadota bacterium. RNAcentral's name for it is "uncultured proteobacterium partial 16S ribosomal RNA". It matches the Rfam family "Bacterial small subunit ribosomal RNA", at positions 110 to 408 of the family's 1533-position model. The record is from RNAcentral. Lineage: Bacteria; Pseudomonadati; Pseudomonadota.